UAGGGAAUCUUCCGCAAUGGGCGAAAGCCUGACGGAGCAACGCCGCGUGAGUGAUGAAGGUCUUCGGAUCGUAAAACUCUGUUAUUAGGGAAGAACAAAUGUGUAAGUAACUAUGCACGUCUUGACGGUACCUAAUCAGAAAGCCACGGCUAACUACGUGCCAGCAGCCGCGGUAAUACGUAGGUGGCAAGCGUUAUCCGGAAUUAUUGGGCGUAAAGCGCGCGUAGGCGGUUUUUUAAGUCUGAUGUGAAAGCCCACGGCUCAACCGUGGAGGGUCAUUGGAAACUGGAAAACUUGAGUGCAGAAGAGGAAAGUGGAAUUCCAUGUGUAGCGGUGAAAUGCAGAGAUAUGGAGGAACACCAGUGGCGAAGGCGACUUUCUGGUCUGUAACUGACGCUGAUGUGCGAAAGCGUGGGGAUCAAACAGG
Molecule: ribosomal RNA, 427 nt
Filed under: Actinomycetes bacterium
Lineage: Bacteria; Bacillati; Actinomycetota; Actinomycetes
Description: Actinobacteria bacterium partial 16S ribosomal RNA
Rfam family: Bacterial small subunit ribosomal RNA
Source: RNAcentral